Molecule: ribosomal RNA, 120 nt
Filed under: Secale sylvestre
Lineage: Eukaryota; Viridiplantae; Streptophyta; Magnoliopsida; Poales; Poaceae
Also listed under: 1 other name
Source: RNAcentral
GGAUGCGAUCAUACCAGCACUAAAGCACCGGAUCCCAUCAGAACUCCGAAGUUAAGCGUGCUUUGGCGAGAGUAGUACUAGGCUGGGUGACCUCCUGGGAAGUCCUCGUGUUGCAUUCCC